RNAcentral lists this ribosomal RNA (201 nucleotides) under uncultured bacterium. RNAcentral's name for it is "partial 16S ribosomal RNA". It matches the Rfam family "Bacterial small subunit ribosomal RNA", at positions 1300 to 1500 of the family's 1533-position model. The record is from RNAcentral.
GUAGUCUGCAACUCGACUACAUGAAGCUGGAAUCGCUAGUAAUCGCGAAUCAGAAUGUCGCGGUGAAUACGUUCCCGGGUCUUGUACACACCGCCCGUCACACCAUGGGAGUCAGCAACGCCCGAAGCCGGUGACCCAACCGAAAGGAGGGAGCCGUCGAAGGUGGGGCCGAUAACUGGGGUGAAGUCGUAACAAGGUAAC